This 292-nucleotide ribosomal RNA is filed under the name uncultured Acidobacteriota bacterium. RNAcentral's name for it is "uncultured Acidobacteria bacterium partial 16S ribosomal RNA". The record is from RNAcentral. Lineage: Bacteria; Pseudomonadati; Acidobacteriota.
GGACUACUAGGGUAUCUAAUCCUGUUUGCUCCCCUAGCUUUCGUCCCUCAGCGUCAGUUGCGAUCCAGCAAGCCGCUUUCGCCUCGGAUGUUCCUGCGGAUAUCUACGCAUUUCACCGCUACACCCGCAAUUCCACUUGCCUCUCUCGCACUCUAGCACGGCAGUUUCGGAAGCAGCCUCUGAGUUGAGCCCAGAGAUUUCACUCCCGACUUACCACACCGCCUACGGACCCUUUACGCCCAGUAAUUCCGAGCAACGCUGGCCCCCUACGUCUUACCGCGGCGGCUGGCAC